This 606-nucleotide long non-coding RNA is filed under the name Parus major (Great Tit). RNAcentral describes it as "lncRNA (ENSPMJG00000013135.1)". Lineage: Eukaryota; Metazoa; Chordata; Aves; Passeriformes; Paridae. The record is from RNAcentral.
GAAUUUCCUUACAGGCUCACUUGAUUUUCUCCUGUGUUUAUGUAGGUGGAGGUCUGUACUUUGAGAACCCUGUAAGGCCCUCAAGGAUCCUUAUGUCUUGGUGGAGAUCAUUUCACGGACCUUGACAAGCUCUUCUGAAACCUCUGACUUUAUUUGCAUGAGAAGGACUUCAUAACAUCACUUUUGGGAUUGAACAAGGGAGCAAGGAAUUUUGGAAUGAGCUCACUACCCACUGAGACCUUUUUUGUUUUGAUUACUGGAUUGUACCAAGUGUUAUCCCGACAGCAGAGCACUGGUGCCAGAGGGAAAGUGAAAUACAAAAAAAAAAACCUCAAGCCAUUUUGAAGAGGAAUGAACAGACUCAUAGUGGGUAAAUCUGUGACUGGCUGCUAAAUACUGAAAUCUCCGUGUAACUUGUGCAUGCAGGAAUCACCUGCCAGAAGGCAGAGGUGUUGGUGCUGCAGACAGAGAGGAGCAGCAAGAAAGGAGGAGCUGCAGGUACUACCCCUUUAUUCACCUGUGGACUCCUGCCAGAUUCAGGAUGCUGACAUCCCAAGCUGAUGUAUUUCUAUGGAAUGGCUUCAUGGAUACCAUGAUGUGUGGAAU